Gossypium raimondii (Peruvian cotton) is the source of this 6686-nucleotide RNA transcript. It is a transcript of the gene named E3 ubiquitin-protein ligase PRT6, with no coding region annotated. The transcript has 18 exons. Lineage: Eukaryota; Viridiplantae; Streptophyta; Magnoliopsida; Malvales; Malvaceae. The record is from RefSeq and is a predicted model, not a curated record.
GAAAUUGAUGAAAAAAAAACUGAAGGGUCUAUUUGGUCCACUGCAAUGUCGACGACCAGUGAAAAGGCGAGGAAUUUAGAAUGAUUUAGGACUUGGGUAAUUCGGGUUUUCUUUGAAAGUUCCAAAAUUGAUUAAAAUUUUACUGUCAUAACAUGGAAUCGCCGACAAAAUUUUCGUCGAUUGAACCCCACGAUCGAGUCAUACAGAGGUUAGCAGCUUUAGGGAUUCCAGUGGAGUACUUGGAUAGGCAUUACGAAGGGAUAGUUGAUUUCGUUAGUGAUAAUGGGUUGUCGCUGGAGAUAGUUUUCGCAAUCUUACCUACUGAUGAGGAAAUGGUAGAGUCUAUACAAGAUGCUAGGCUAAAGUCUAAGAAAUGGCUGUGUGUAUCUGUGGAAAACUGGUUUCGUGAGAGUUUGGUUUGGUUACAGUGGUUGAUGUUUCGAGGUGAGCCGGUGAAUGCUUUCAGAAGCCUAGCAAAAUUGAGUGUCGAUCAACGAGGUGUUUGUGCUGCGGUUUGGGGAUCAAAUGACAUUGCAUAUAGGUGCCGAACAUGUGAGGUUGAUCCAACUUGUGCUAUUUGCGUCCCUUGUUUUCAGAAUGGGAAUCAUAAAGGUCAUGAUUUUUCUAUUUUUAAAACUGGCGGUGGUUGUUGUGAUUGCGGGGAUGAAACAGCAUGGAAACACGAGGGUUUUUGCUCGAAGCAUAAAGGUGCUGAACAGAUUCAACAGCUUCCUGAGACUAUAGCGGAUUCAGUUGGGCUGGUGCUUGAUGUUCUCUUUAACUUUUGGAGAAACAAGCUAUUCUUAGCAGAAGGUAUCUUCGAAGGGACAACGAGAGAGAGUGAUAGUGGCAAUGAGCAGGGGAAAGCUGCUAAUGAGCUAACUUACGUAGUCGUUGAGAUGCUUUUAGACUUUUGCAAUAAGAGUGAGAGUUUGCUGAGUUUUGUGUCGAAGAGGAUGAUUUCCUUAGAUGGUUUAUUGGGUAUUCUGAUCAGAGCUGAGAGGUUUAUAGGUGAUGGUGUUGUGAAGAAACUCCAUGAACUGCUGCUGAAAUUGCUCGCAGAGCCUAUCUUCAAAAAUGAAUUUUCUAAAGUAUUUUUAAGCUAUUACCCUACUGUUAUAAAUGAAGCCAUAAAAGAUGGCAGUGGUAGCAUUCUCAAGAGCAAGUACCCUCUAAUCUCAACUUUCUCUGCCCAAAUAUUCACAGUGCCAACCCUAACUGCUCGUCUUGUGAAGGAGAUGGACCUACUAGGUGUGCUACUGAAAUGCCUGGGCAACAUUUUUAUUUCUUGUUCUCAGAAAGAUGGCCAUUUGAAGGUUACUAAGUUGGGAAGUUUGUAUUAUACCACUUUCCUUGUAGUUGAACAUAUUCGGUUUGUUAUGAGCCAUGAUGUAGUCUCCAAAUAUGCAACCCAUGAGCAGCAGGACAUUGUAAGAACUUGGCUAAAGCUUUUAGCUUUUGUGCAAGGGAUAAACCUUAUAAAGAGGGAAACUAACCUCCAUAUAGAAGAAGAAAAUGAUUCCAUACAUUUGCCUUUUGUUUUAGGCAGUUUUAUUGCCAAUAUUCAUUCCCCUUUGGUGGAUGGAGCAUUUUCUGUUGCUGUAAGUGAAGGAACAAAUGUUCUUCCUUAUACUUUUAAGCAAGAUAUGGACGAUGGAGAUGGUGUAAGGCAUGCAAAAGUAGGAAGGCUAUCCCAAGAGAGUUCUGUUUGUAGUUUAACAGGAAGGAGUAUGUCAAAGGUUACUGAAGUUGAAUCUGAUUCCGUAUCUCGUCUUUCAGUACCUUCCUCUGCUAUCUGGUUAAUACAGGAGUGCUUAAGGGUUUUGGAGACUUGGUUGGAAGUCGAUGAUGGUAUCUCUGCAGCUCUUCAGAGUAUAUAUUCUCCUAAUAGUAAUGGCAUUUCUGAUAGGAAUCUUUUAGCAAAAAAAAGAAUACAAUAUGAAAUUAGAGGAGGCAAAUAUUUUGGUAAACUAACUGGUUCAAGUGAAAAUCAUUGCUCAGAAUCUUCUUCACCUGUAUAUAAUGGACAUCUAGCAAGUGACGACAUGGAGAUGGAGACAGGCACUGGCACAGGUCUAGCUGUUCUACCUGUUUUGAGUCUGUCUGAAUGGCCUGAUAUUAUUUAUGAUGUCAGUUCGCAAGAGAUAUCCGUUCACAUACCAUUACAUCGAUUACUUUCCUUGCUUCUGCAGAAUGCAUUAAAAUCAUGUUAUGGUGAAUCUGUAAUGCCAAAUAUAACAAAUUCUUCUUGUUCUCCAAGUUUGUUGUCACCAACUUAUCCAGAUUUCUUUGGUCACAUCCUUGGGGGCUGCCAUCCUUUUGGAUUCUCUGCCUCAGUUAUGGAGCAUCCCUUGCGGAUCAGGGUGUUUUGUUCUCAAUUUUUAUCUGGAAUGUGGCUGAAGAAUGGGGAUGCUGGACUAGUAUCUUACAAGUGGUAUCGCUCUUCUCGCUGGUCUGAAGAAGGUUUGGAGCUUGAUCUAUUUUUGCUGCAAUGCUGUGCUGCACUAGCUGCUCCUGAUCUCUAUGUUACGAGAAUUUUAGAACGAUUUGGGCUAUUAAACUACCUUUCUCUAAAUCUUGAAAGAUCAAAUGAGUAUGAGCCAAUUCUUGUAAAGGAAAUGCUCACUCUGAUCAUGCAAAUUUUACAAGAAAGGCGAUUCAGUGGACACAGUAUAGCUGACAGUCUGAAAAGAGAGUUCAUUUAUAAGUUAGCAAUUGGAGAUGCCACUCACAGUCAACUACUGAAAUCUCUACCUUGUGAGCUCUCUAAGUUUGAUCAGCUUCAGGAAAUUUUAGACAAAGUUGCUGCAUACUCUAAUCCAUCAGACUUAAAUCAGGGAAUGUAUUCAUUGCAUGGGGUGUAUUGGAAGGAGCUGGAUUUGUACCAUCCUCGUUGGAGCUCGAGGGAUUUGCAAGUUGCAGAAGAAAGAUACUUCCGUUUCUGUGGUGUCUCUGCAAUGACUACUCAGCUGCCUAGGUGGACAAAAAUAUAUCCUCCUCUUGAGGGAGUUGCUAGAAUUGCUACAUGCAGAGUGACACUUAAGAUUAUUCGUGCAGUGUUAUUUUAUUUUGUUUUCACUGAUAAAUGCACUGAAUCACGUGCUUCUGAUGGUAUCCUUAUGAGAGCAUUGCACUUACUGUCACUAGCAUUAGACAUUUAUUUGCAGCAGAAUGGAGCUACUGAUGUGGAACGUCAUAUUGAAGAUUCAUAUUCUAUGCCAGUUUUUGCUGUUGAGGAAAUUGGUGAAUCUUUGAACUCUGCUGCCAGCAAACAAAGUUUGUUAUCACUUCUUGUUGCUUUAAUGAGAAUGCAUCAGCAAGUGAAUCGAAAUAGCUAUUUGGAUUCUAGCAACUCUAGUUUUUCUCCUCUGGUUGAGAGCUUAUUGAAGAAGUUUGCUGAAGUUGAUUCACACUGCUUUGCCAAACUGCAACUACUUGCACCCGAAGUGGUUAGCUGUCUGUCAAAAUCUAUUCCUACUACUGAUAGUACAUCUAAUAUGCAUAAGGCGAAAGCUCGUGAAAGACAAGCGGCCAUAAUGGCUAAAAUGAAAGUUGAGCAAUCCAAAUUUCUGUCAAGCAUCACUUCAGAUGCUGAUUAUGAUUCAAAUUCCGAAGCAGAAAUGCCAAAUUCUGCUCCUGAACAUGAAACGGAAGGUGCUGUGCAACAAAGUUGCUCUCUUUGCCAUGAUCCUACUUCCAAAAAUCCUGUUUCUUUCUUGAUUCUUCUCCAGAAAUCUAGGAUUUUGAGCUUUGUUGAUAGACGUUGUCCUUCUGGAGAUCGAUGGGCAGACAAGAAGCAAGGUUCUAUUCCCACAAAUAGAGUGACUGAUCAAUCUGGAUCAAAUGGCUCUUCCAGCAGUUCAGGGUUGUCUUCUCCUCCAUUUCAGUUGACUGAAAAUUCGGUUGUUGAGUCUGGUGAUUAUGAGCAAGCACAAUGUGGUGAAGUAAAUGUCAUUCUUGAGUUUAUCAAGUCUUGGUUUCCUUCACUGAGGAGCACUCAAGCACCUUUCUCAUCUAGUUACAUGAGGGACAGUAGUGAAUAUAAUUUGGAGACACUAGAAGAAGAUAUGUGCAUACGUAUUCGUAAAGAAAUGUGUGAUACUUCAUUAAGCUCAAGCCUUAAAAAGGAUGAUGUAUCCUUUGCCAGUGGAGGUUCUCUGGGAAGCAGCAGGGAUGCUGACUGUCACGGACCUGGGAAAUACAUUGCUUCUCUUUCAAGCAAGACAAGUGAAAACUCUUUGGGUUUUGAGAACUGUAAUGGUGAUAGAGAGUUGACAGAAUCUGCUUCAAAGCCUUUUGCUUAUGAUGGACUUGGCCUGUUAGAUUGUGAUGGAAUUCAUCUUUCUUCAUGUGGACAUGCUGUUCAUCAGGAUUGUCUUGAUAGCUAUUUAUCAUCACUGAAGGAAAGGUAUGCCCGAAGAAGUUUCUUUGAGGGGGCACUUAUUUUAGAUCUUGAUAAGGGAGAGUUUCUUUGUCCAGUGUGUCGACAACUAGCGAAUGCUAUCUUGCCUGCAGUGAAUGGAAGGACCGGAAGGCAGGCUAUGAGUGUAACUGUUGAUCCACUGCCUGCUCUAGGUUCUCCAUCUGCAUCAAAUGAAGAAAUCUGUCCCCUUAUGCUUCAGCAAGGAUUAUGUCUUCUAAAAACUGCAGCAAAGGUGGUUGGGAGGCCUGAUUUCAUUAAAGCUCUUUCUCGUCAAAGAACAGAAAGUACUAGUCAGGAUCUUGAACCUAUAUCUCGAGCGCUGUAUAAAAUGAACUUUUCAAAAAACCAGGAGAUGCUCUUUGGAUCUUCAAGGUUAAGUCACACUAUAAUCAUAUGGGAUAUUCUCAAGUAUUCUCUUAUGUCAACAGAAGUUGCUGCCCGUGGUUUAAAGACUUCUAUGGCCACAAAUUAUACGCUUACUUCUCUGUAUAAGGAAUUUAAAUCUUCUAGUGAAUUUAUCUUUUCCUUGUUGCUAAGAGUUGUCCAGAACCUGAGCAAUUCUAAUUCUCUUCACGCUCUUCAAAGAUUUAGAGCUCUUCAACUGUUUGCACAGUCUAUUUGCAAUGGGAUUUUAUCUGAUUACCACAGUACCCGACAUAAAGUGGAAGAAAAUCUCCUUCGUAUCUUGAAACCUGACGAUAAGGAAGCAUUAAAUCCCGGUAUUCAGUUUUGGAAUCGGGCAGCUGAUUCUGUUCUUGCUCAUGACCCUUUCUCAUCAUUGAUGUGGGUUCUCUUCUCUCUUCCAUUCCCAUUUCUAUCAUGUGAGGAGUCCGUGUUAUCCCUUGUGCAUGUCUUCUAUGUUGUCUCCGUAAUUCAGGCUAUAAUUACAUGUCGGAUACAAGGUUAUAACGUCAAUGAGCUAAGUUCCCAACAUUGCCUAAUUACUGAUAUCUGUAACAUUCUUGGAGAAUCUGAUUUUGCUCGCUGGUAUUUCAUAUCAAAUGAAGUUGAACUUUCUUGUGAUAUUAAAGAUAUUAUUAGAAGAUUGAGUUUCCCUUACUUGCGGAGGUGUGCAUUGUUGUGGAAGAUGCUUAAAUCUUCUGUCCGAUCACCAUUCUGUGAUAGUGAUAACUUGUGGAAGCUAUCUCAUAUGAUGGAUGCAACUAAAACUACUUCAAUGGAGCUCAAUGAAGCACAAAAACUGGAGAAGAUGUUUAAGAUUCCUCCUGUAGAUGUUAUUCUUGAUAAUGAAGUCGCACGAUUGUUUGCAUUAAAAUGGUUUCGUCAUUUCCACAAUGUAUAUAGAACCAGUAGUGUCCAAAAUGUUUUCUACUGUAAUCCUGUGGUUCCUUUUAAGUUGCUGAGCCUGCCUCAUGUUUAUCAAGACCUAUUCCUAAGGUAUAUAAGUCAGUGUUGCCCUGACUGCAAAACUGUUGUUCACGAGCCUGCGUUAUGUCUGUUGUGUGGUAGAUUAUGCUCUUCAAUCUGGAAGCCAUGCUGCAGGGAGAGUGGAUGCAAAUCUCAUGCAAAGUCCUGUGGAGCUGGUAUUGGUGUAUUUCUGUUGAUAAAGAGAACAACAAUCUUGCUACAAAGAUGUGGUCGUCAAGCUCCUUGGCCGUCUCCUUAUUUGGAUGCAUUUGGUGAAGAGGAUAACGAAAUGCAUAGAGGAAAACCGCUCUACUUGAACGAGGAACGCUAUGCCGCUCUAACUAACAUGGUUGCUUCUCAUGGCCUUGAUCAGAGUUCAAAGGUUCUUGGUCAAACUACCAUUGGUACCUUCUUCGCGGUUUAGUUUGGUUACAUGUUUAAGGUGGUGGGUGAGAGCAUUUUUAUCCUUAUGUACCUUUCAUAUUAACGACCAUAAGGUGUUAGAUAUGGCUGAUUUUGCUGUUCUCUUGUUUCAUAUUCUGUUGUUAGACUCUUAAAUUGAAGAACCCGUGGCACGUAGAGUCCAAUGCCUUGACCGACAAGUCUUCAAUUGAACAUAUUCAGGCUUUAGAUCACCAUGUUGAUCGGGUACCGGUUUCAAAGGAGACAACACUAUGAGAAAACAGUUUGGUUUCUUCUAUAACUUUCCAUGUUUUUUCUUUUCAUCACCGAUAAGUAGAGCCAUAAAUUCUAAUGUAAGGCAGUUGAAAUCUUUCUCAAGUUAAAGGGCAUAUAUAUAUAUAUAUAUAUAUAUAUAACAUAUUGUAAAUAGUUCAACAUUUUCGCUUGACAGCAGCUCUCAUCUUGUGCUUAUAAAUGCGCUUUGGUUCACUUC